GACCAAGAAAGGGGUGUGAGAAUGGACGACGCCAUCUUGACUAUCGCUAAUCUAGUAAAGAUCAAACCCACUUACCUGUGACGUGCUACUCGGUACAACGUAGUCUUGUUGCUGUCUCCUGACGGCUACCGUAGUCAUUCCGACCACUCCAGACGCGAUUCAAGUACGAAUUACUCGCCGUUCGACGCUUUUUGCGCGGAUCCAAGAUGGCGACGAGCAACCAACUUCAUCUAUGCUGCACGUGGCGAGUGGUAAGGUAAGAUCAAUGCGCGUACAACAUAGUGCCUAUUACGCGUCGGUGCCAGUUCGUUCAAAUAUCCGCUCUAUCACGAUUCUUACCGCCCAUCCAGAAAAAAACUUAAUUUUAUUGUCAUCCCAAUGAUAACGAUUGAAAUGAUAUGUAUGUAGUCCAAGUUUAACAGUUGGGCGGAGGUGUGGAAGAAUACACCAGAUGUCCGAAGGCGGGACUACUUAAUUCGGUUGUCCUCCCCCCCGCCCGUUCGGUAGGCGGGACACAAAGAAUGCGGACACAAAACCAACUCCCGCCUCCAGUUUUCGAGAUGAAGGCCGGAAAAGUGGAAAGUAACGUCGCGUGACCACAUCCCCUUACCACAGUCCCUUUGGCCAAAAGACACAUCCGAACAAACACCGCCCUAAUUAACUCGGCGGGCGCAACGUCGCCUUUUUAUCUUUUCCCUUUUCCGCCGUGCGUGACGCUUUCCUAUGGCCCACGGGGAGUUGCCAUACGCGUCAGGCCCAAUAUCGACUUCACAAUUCACGCUUUGCUGGCCGUUUCUGCCUGGUGUUAUAUCACGGCCGAUAACACAGCGAUGUUACGUCACCCAAAACAAAAUAUGCUGUUUCCUGUCUGUUGGCGCCAGAUAGACAAAGCGUUUCCUCUUAUUUAGCGGGAUAAAAUUUUGAAAAUUUUACAGUAUAAGCAAGGCGGUUAUCCGUCGGGCGGAUCACUUCCGUCACUCGUCUUUCAUCGAUUAUGAAAAACAGGUAGUGGACAAUGUUGGCGCCAGUCCAGACGUGACGUAACGAACCGGAAUUUAAAGACGCUAACGAAGAAACAAGGCGGUUACGUUUUAGGCCGAGGCAACGCCCGUGAUGCACCGACGAACACCCUCACAAUGUGGGAGGCGGACCCAGGGCCCUAUGAGACAACGAUCCGCUGCGACUCGACGCCUAAGGUAGACCCAAAGGGCGUUUCCGUUGCAGAUGCUCCGCGCCCAUGCUCGUACCUCCCCUGCACGCCAUGUGGUAGAUAUCCGACAUUUUCGGCACUAUUCCCAAAUCCCGAUCGCCACUGUAUUGUGUUUCGGGUUCUGACGCCAUAACAAAGCAGUGGUGGAGUGAUGGUGGCCAGAAUGACCCCAAAAUACGGCGGGUGGAGAACAGGUUUUCCUUCCCCCUUCGGCACGCAACACGUUUCAAAAUUAAAAAGUUCACGUAAGAUACUUGCCUGACACUGGAGCAUGGAGUUGUUAGAUGAAUGGCGAAGAUAACAUCCAAGUUUUGUUGUUAAUCUAUCGUAAUCGUUUCUUUUUUCUUGGCUUUUGG
RNAcentral lists this long non-coding RNA (1566 nucleotides) under Androctonus crassicauda. The record is from RNAcentral. Lineage: Eukaryota; Metazoa; Arthropoda; Arachnida; Scorpiones; Buthidae.